RNAcentral lists this long non-coding RNA (417 nucleotides) under Ananas comosus (pineapple). Its description in RNAcentral is "long non-coding RNA (ACOM_LNC022827)". The record is from RNAcentral. Lineage: Eukaryota; Viridiplantae; Streptophyta; Magnoliopsida; Poales; Bromeliaceae.
GAGGCCGUACGGCCAAAGAGCUGUCCUUAAGUUUGCACAAUACACUGGUGCUCAUCCUAUCGCGGGUAGGCACACGCCUGGAACCUUCACCAAUCAGCUUCAAACAUCCUUCAGUGAGCCUCGCCUUCUUAUCCUUACUGAUCCUAGAACGGACCAUCAGGUGAAUAUAUCAGUGCUACAAGUUUCUAUAUUAGGCCAAUAUAGUGCUUGUUGACUCUCAGGUUGUGUUGCCAACAGCCAAUUAAGGAAUCAGCUCUGGGAAAUAUACCGACUAUUGCCUUCUGUGACACUGACUCUCCCAUGCGAUAUGUCGAUAUCGGGAUUCCCGCGAACAACAAAGGAAAGCACAGCAUUGGCUGCCUCUUCUGGCUGCUGGCAAGGAUGGUUCUGCAGAUGCGGGGCACAAUCCUUCCUGGG